This 662-nucleotide ribosomal RNA is filed under the name uncultured fungus. Its description in RNAcentral is "eukaryotic LSU rRNA". The stretch from base 248 to 401 matches the Rfam family "5.8S ribosomal RNA". Lineage: Eukaryota; Fungi. The record is from RNAcentral.
AGUAAAAGUCGUAACAAGGUUUCCGUAGGUGAACCUGCGGAAGGAUCAUUAACGAGUUUUUGAAAGGGGUUGUAGCUGGCCAAAAGCAAGGCAUGUGCACACCCUGCUCAAUCCACUCUCAAACCCCUGUGCACUCAUUGUAGGCUAUGGUGGGAUAGCUGGUUUCGGCCAGUUUGAAAGCCUUGUCUAUGUUUAUUACAAACGCUUCAGUUAACGAAUGUCACAUAGCGUCUAACGCAUUAUAUACAACUUUCAGCAACGGAUCUCUUGGCUCUCGCAUCGAUGAAGAACGCAGCGAAAUGCGAUAAGUAAUGUGAAUUGCAGAAUUCAGUGAAUCAUCGAAUCUUUGAACGCACCUUGCGCUCCUUGGUAUUCCGAGGAGCAUGCCUGUUUGAGUGUCAUGGUAUUCUCAACUCUUCAAUGCUUUUGCAAUGAACAGUUGGAUGUGGAGGUUGUGUCGGCUUGCAAAAGUUGACUCCUCUUAAAUGCAUUAGUGUGAACCUUUACGGAUCGCCAUCAGUGUGAUAAUGUCUACGCUGUGACGUUGAAGUAUCUUUGGUGUUCAUGCUUCUAAUAGUCUCUUCACGAGACAACUCUUGACAAUCUGACCUCAAAUCAGGUAGGACUACCCGCUGAACUUAAGCAUAUCAAUAAGCGGAGGA